Ciona intestinalis (vase tunicate) is the source of this 1821-nucleotide non-coding RNA. The record is from RefSeq and is a predicted model, not a curated record. Lineage: Eukaryota; Metazoa; Chordata; Ascidiacea; Phlebobranchia; Cionidae.
AUCACAUAGACGUCAACAGUUUAUUUUUUCAAACACAGGGGAGGCAGGGAUAGUUAAACACACAGUCCUAGGAAACAAAUCUAACCUUAAUUAGUUCUAAUGUUUACUGAUUAAUGCAGUGUAGAAAAUUUCAAUGUAGGACUGCCCACCCUGCCACCCCGGGUUUGGUGCCUUUUUUCCCAAUAUAGUUUUGUUUCAAUACAAUUUUGCACCAAUUUAAAAAUCUCUAUUACCCCAUCUUAAAAGUAUUAGUUGCAAUCUUGUAAUAUUUUCUGAUUGUGCAAAAAUUCCAAGCAUAAUAGUGUUUCACACCACUUAAAUUAGACACAAACCAGUAAAUGUAAGAUAUAAUAGAAGGUAAAACACGGCAACACUGCAAGUGGUUAAACCGCACAAACUGAAUGUGUUGGAAAGUUAAUGAGGUGUAAGAUGAGAAUACAAAUAUUGCUAAUGGAACUUUAAAUCUACGCACUUGCAUUUGGCUGGCUGUGCAAAGAACAAGCUAACUAUAACACUUGGGUGGCUGGAAAGUGACAACGGUAUCAACAAUUCUGAGCUGACAAAGCAGAUAUACUGAAGUACACACACUUUUAAACAUAGAAUUGUAGAAUAACAUACAACAACUGGAUAAAGCAUAUAAUACUGACUUGUUUAUACACAAUGCUUAGUAACUGUAUCCACAUACAACAAAAAGUUAAUUUGUUUUAUUACAAUUAAACAGUUACAGCAACCAACUAUAAAGCAGAGUAACUUACUCUAUAACGAAUCCUUAUAUUACUUUGUAUACAGAGACACUGAGUAGCAUUACAAAUCUUGUGUCAUUUAAAUACCACUUAAUAAACUGACAGCAAACACAAACCGGACGUUUUAUCUAAAUAUUGAUAAGUCUUACUUCAGAGAAACUUGAGGCUUAAAAUCACAAUCUUAUAAAAAAUUCUCCCACACUAACUUGAACUAUAUUGUCCUAACUUAAUGUGCAACUAAAUAUAAAGACAGUUGGGUUAAAAUUGGAAUUCUUACAUCAAUAACUGAAAGUGAUACAAAGAAAGAACGAGUGGAGAUAUAUAUUACAUUGUUUAUACGAGCAUGCACCCCAGACACAUAUUCUAUAUAUAGGACGCAGACUUACUAAAAAUAAUUGGCAUUAGGAAAUCAUGUGCAAUCUAAUAAUAAAUAUUAUAUGCCCGCAGAUUAACCUUUUUUUCUUGUAACAAUUUUUUUCAUUAAUACAAAUGAAAACUACCUAAACCACUGCAUAACACUCUAUCUGUUCUAUUUAUAUAGUUUAACAUCGCUGAUAGACAUAUUUAAACUACAUUCUCACUUAAAUGCAACAUUAAUAUAUAUAAUAUUUUUUAAGCUUAAAUGCAAUAUCAAUAUAAGCAAAUACACAAUCCACAACUGGACAGGCCAACCCUCAAAUUUUCUACACUGCAUUAAUCAAUAAACAUUACAACCAGUAAGUUUAGAUUUGUUUCAAAGAAAUGUGUGUCUAACUCUCCCUGCCUCCCCUGUGUUUUAAGAUUGCACACUCUCUAUAAAUCUGCACCUCACAAUAACACCCAUAAAGCUUUAUAUAACCACCCACCAUGAGUUAGUAAAAUAACAAACAAAAUAAUUUAUCGUUCAAUCGGUCUAAGCAAAUCAAUACUUAAUAUUAUCCAAUACAAACAAAAUUAAAUUCCACAGCAGCAGAUUAAUUUUACAAUCGUAGAUAAGUCACGAAAUUAAAUCACUCAAAGGUUUGAAAAACAUAACUAUAUAUAUAUAGCAUGAUGGGGGAAAACGGGACACCUUUUAUUCUAUUUUCUCUUUCCACUU